This is a non-coding RNA of Macaca mulatta (Rhesus monkey), 2431 nucleotides long. Lineage: Eukaryota; Metazoa; Chordata; Mammalia; Primates; Cercopithecidae. The record is from RefSeq and is a predicted model, not a curated record.
AAAACCCAAAAAACACUCGUUCUCCCAAAGUAACAAUCUAACAAAUAUGCUUUCCAUAGUUCUCAACUUAUAUUUCAAAUCUUAAUGAACUCCCUGACAGACAGAAAAUUAGAGAGCCAGGAAUUAACAGCAACAGCAACAAGAGAUUCAAAUAUAUUUUGACACAUACUGUACAUGUUUUUCUCACAUACAUCUGCACAAACUACAGUUGACAGUGUUAAAAUUAUUUUAACAUUAAAAAAAGGUAACAGCACAGUUUUGUUAAAGAUUGACAAAAGUUUUAGAGCACAAGAAAAAAGUAAAUAAGAAGGGGGAUGAAAGAGCAAACAGAAUAAACUGCCUCGAGUAAAUGUUUAAUGCUGUGAAAUGAAGUACAAUGAAUUUUAAAUUCGUUCAACCAAAGAAAACUAAUUUGAGAGACCUUGCUGGCAUUCAGUGAAAAGUUGUUAGUCCUAUUUUCAAUUUCAUGCUGUAUUUUCUCCCUACUCCCUCUAGAGCCACACACACACACACACACACACACACACACACGAGUGAAUAUGCAGUAUCACUCCACCUUUUGAGGGAGAAAACUCUUAAGAAUAAAUGCCAGCCCAAUUACUGCCCUGAGCCCAAUUUCUCAUUGAAUCUUCUUGCUCUAUGUUUAGAAAUCCUGAAGGAAGACUCUCAUUUUCUUGUCUACACAGAGUAAGUGUUCCCUUGGAGUGAGGAAUAAACCAGAAUGACUUCCUGUGGCUUUUAAAUGGAACUAUCAAGAAUCUUGGUAUUAACAUGAAGAACAGUUGCUUGAUAACAUUUUAGGGAGAAAUCAAAACAUCCUCUUUUAGUUAUACCAAGAGCAGAUACAAUUACAAGACGACUUUAUUCUACCCAACAAAUGAAUGGCACAUUUUUCUAUAACAAAGCAAACCCAUGAGUUUUGGACAUUCUGAUAUAAAAAUAGGUUAUUCGCCUUCUUUUUACAGUGACCACUUAAUUAUAGAAGCAGUUACUAACACAAGUGUAUUUGACAUAAUCAUGAGUUAUGAAAACACAUUGGAAAAAUUAAAUAACCCAAGAGUUUCUCAACAUAGGAAAAACAUGGCCUGGUCCUCUCUGCAUGUGCUCUGUGCUGCCGUGACAACCCAGCUGCCCCCGUCGAGGCUCCAGCGUGGCCAGGACUGGGCCCAGCUGUAACAAUGGGCACUGUGCAGGGCCUGGGACAGCCACGCUGGCACUGACCUGGAAAAAUACAGCCCUCCAAGCAGCCAGGGCUGCUUUCACGGAACAGCAAAGCAGCAGCAAACACCGCCAACACUCAGACAUCAAGCGGCUCAGCAUUUUGGAAAUCUGAUUUCCUUAGAAAGAUCAUCAAUGUUGACUUACCAUUACACAAGUGAAAGACUCAUAGGGGAACCUAAUCCUGAAAGCUCAAACUCUUUGAAAGGACUUCAAACGCUAUUCAGAGUCAACAGAUAAUAUGAUAAUAAACUUAGAGGGCAAAGGUCUACGAAAUGCAGAAAUCACCAAUUUCAACACAGGUCCCUCCAGAUCCCACCCUGGAUUCAAGAAUUUCCUCCUGACUCAGAAGCACCCUACACUCUGCACCAUGGACCCUGAAACUGAGAUGGAAGCACUCUACGGUCUGCACCAUGGACCCUGAAACUGAGAUGGGAGCACCCUACAGUCUGCACCAUGGACCCUGAAACGGAGAUGGGAAGGAGCCCUAUCUCACCACCCUCCUAUCUCACGCUCUUCUGUCUGGACCUAAUGUUGAACUCUCAGUCAAUACAAUCCAUUCUGUUUUCAGGUAACCACAAGUCAAGAAGUCCUUAUGUUAACAAUUCAUUACCUGACUGUUUUUGUCUUUUUGGUCAUUCAAGUUCUGCCUUUUUGAAACAACACAAAAAGAUACCUUUCCUUCGUAUCAUUCAAAUACUUAAGGAUGUCCUUCAAAUACCUAAGUCUCUUCUUUUCAAUUUUUAGCUCCUUUAUCCUUCUGCUUACAUCUCUAUGUGCCAUAGGUUGAAAAUGCCUUUCCUAAAGAGGAACCCUGGAUUAACAACCAGUGAAGAACAGAAAGACUCACCCUUUUUGUCUCAGAUACACAGCUUUUCUGUUAUUCUAGUCUAAAAUAAUGGCAACUUUGAAAAUUGUGUUCUCCAUUUACUUAUCUGUAUAGACCUGUGCUACAGGAACACCCACAGCUCUAUUAUCAUACAUCAUGAAGAAGUAAUCAAUGUUUAUAGGAUUAAAAUGAAACUUAAAGCCAUCUAGUUCAAUCUCUAACCACUUCAGGAAUCCCUUACAGAAAAUUCCUAUGUGUUUCAAUUUCUACAGAAUUAGCAGUUUGUCUAUACAUUUUUUGUAGCAGAAAUAUAAGAAUGUUAGCUGCUGGGAUUUGAACUGUGUUUGUAUUUUUUUUUUUUCAAAUAAAAAUCUAACAACUUCA